UGGGGAAUAUUGCACAAUGGGGGAAACCCUGAUGCAGCGACGCCGCGUGAGCGAAGAAGGCUUUCGAGUCGUAAAGCUCUGUCCUAUGAGAAGAUAAUGACGGUAUCAUAGGAGGAAGCCCUGGCUAAAUACGUGCCAGCAGCCGCGGUAAUACGUAUGUGGCGAGUGUUGUCCGGAAUCACUGUGCGUAAAGGGUUCGCAGGCGGAAAUGCAAGUCAGGUGUAAAAGGCAGUAGCUUAACUACUGUAAGCAUUUGAAACUGCAUAUCUUGAGAAGAGUAGAGGUAAGUGGAAUUUUUGAUGUAGCGGUGAAAUGCGUAGAUAUUAAAAAGAAUACCGGUGGCGAAGGCGACUUACUGGGAUCAUUCUGACGCUGAAGAACGAAAGCGUGGGUAGCAAACAGG
RNAcentral lists this ribosomal RNA (403 nucleotides) under Verrucomicrobiota bacterium. RNAcentral's name for it is "Verrucomicrobia bacterium partial 16S ribosomal RNA". It matches the Rfam family "Bacterial small subunit ribosomal RNA", at positions 355 to 776 of the family's 1533-position model. The record is from RNAcentral. Lineage: Bacteria; Pseudomonadati; Verrucomicrobiota.